This 301-nucleotide ribosomal RNA is filed under the name uncultured bacterium. RNAcentral's name for it is "partial 16S ribosomal RNA". It matches the Rfam family "Bacterial small subunit ribosomal RNA", at positions 509 to 809 of the family's 1533-position model. The record is from RNAcentral.
CAGCAGCCGCGGUAAUACGGAGGGAGCUAGCGUUGUUCGGAAUUACUGGGCGUAAAGCGCACGUAGGCGGUUAUUCAAGUCAGAGGUGAAAGCCCGGGGCUCAACCCCGGAACUGCCUUUGAAACUAGAUGACUGGAAUCUUGGAGAGGUCAGUGGAAUUCCGAGUGUAGAGGUGAAAUUCGUAGAUAUUCGGAAGAACACCAGUGGCGAAGGCGACUGACUGGACAAGUAUUGACGCUGAGGUACGAAAGCUAGGGGAGCAAAUGGGAUUAGAUACCCCCGUAGUCCCUGUCUCUUAUAA